RNAcentral lists this ribosomal RNA (249 nucleotides) under uncultured Ureibacillus sp. RNAcentral describes it as "partial 16S ribosomal RNA". It matches the Rfam family "Bacterial small subunit ribosomal RNA", at positions 796 to 1041 of the family's 1533-position model. Lineage: Bacteria; Bacillati; Bacillota; Bacilli; Caryophanales; Caryophanaceae. The record is from RNAcentral.
CACGCCGUAAACGAUGAGUGCUAAGUGUUAGGGGGUUUCCGCCCCUUAGUGCUGCAGCUAACGCAUUAAGCACUCCGCCUGGGGAGUACGGUCGCAAGACUGAAACUCAAAGGAAUUGACGGGGGCCCGCACAAGCGGUGGAGCAUGUGGUUUAAUUCGAAGCAACGCGAAGAACCUUACCAGGUCUUGACAUCCCGCUGACCGCCAUGGAGACAUGGCUUUCCCUUCGGGGACAGCGGUGACAGGUGG